Oncorhynchus gorbuscha (pink salmon) is the source of this 472-nucleotide long non-coding RNA. RefSeq lists it as uncharacterized. The record is from RefSeq and is a predicted model, not a curated record. The transcript is spliced from 3 exons. Lineage: Eukaryota; Metazoa; Chordata; Actinopteri; Salmoniformes; Salmonidae.
GUGAGGCAAUCAGGCACAGAGAGACAGUUUUCGGUGGGAAAGUGAACUGAUCCAUUCACAGACGCAUUAGACACAUCAACAAUGGCAGUCAUGUGAACACUUCGGCACAUUUUGAGACGCCCAGUUCCUCCACUCCUCCAGCACCAUCUUGACCGCCAGAAGUUCCCGGAUAUCUACGUCGUAGUUUCUCUCAGAGGAGUUGAGACGAUGGGACAGGAAGGGACAGGAAUGGAGCUUUUGGUCAUGGGAAGAUUGCUGGGACAGGAUGGCCCCCACUCCAAAUUCAGAAGCAUUGACCUCAACCACAAACUGACGGGACGGGUCCGGAUGGACGAGGAUUGGGGCAGUAGUGAACCAAUGCUUCAGAUCCACAAAGCCCUGUAAACAGCUGGGGACCAUGUGAACGGUACCUUGGGAGAAGACCUGAGCCCUAGAACCAUGCCCCAGGACUACCUGACAUGAUGACUCCUUG